UUUUUGUUAGACUGAUGUACUAUUUUGAGCAUGCCUAUGUUUGCUUAUCUGUUAUCUGUUUAUGGAAGCAUGUUAAGCAUGAUUUAUUUGUUAAUUCUGUAUGCAUGUUCUGUUAAUUUGAUUGGGGUGGGAUGGUAUAUGUUGGAGGAAGUGUUCUGAAAGGCAGAUUAUGCCUAAUAUCUGGCAGCACAGCUGCAUUAUAUCUGAUAUGUGCCGCAUCGGUAUAGCGUGGUGUGAAGGGCUGGAUGGUUGUUUUAAACUCCACAUGGUGUGUAGGGAUGGUCAAAGAUGGUGUGUAGAGGAUAGAGGUAACCCAUAGUAAUUGGCAGAUCGGUGCAGCAGAGGACUUGAUGGUGACCACCUAGUUUACUACUUCAUUUUGUUUUUGGGUUAUUAAGUUUUGGCAUUGAAGUUGUAUUUUCUGGGACUCUGGACUCUUUUAAAAGUUUUGACGUUGGUUUUGGGCUUUUUGGUUUUUACUUAUUUAUAACUUUGAUGAUUUUCUAAAA
Molecule: long non-coding RNA, 509 nt
Organism: Gossypium arboreum
Lineage: Eukaryota; Viridiplantae; Streptophyta; Magnoliopsida; Malvales; Malvaceae
Exons: 2
Source: RefSeq, a predicted model, not a curated record